UUGCCAAUAUCUAUUAUUUUUUCUCUUCAUGAAUGUCACCAUUUUCAUGUUGAUGCCUCAUUAUUUCAUUGAAGAUGGGAAAUAUCCAUUCUAACUUCUAAAUUGUAGUGUAGGAGGCUGUGCAUGAAUUCUAGAUAUGUGGCGGUUUCUACCCUAUUUAACAAAGAAAAGGAGUCAGCACGUGAAAUGGCAAUAUCCAUUGAUCAGGGGCCAAUGAUCUCUUACAAUGACAGUUUGUCUUGUUGUCAUUUGUGUCUCAGGUUGUCUUAAAUUCUCUGCUGUCAGUUACUGAAAGGAUGAAAAAGAUAAUGUCAGACUUUUAAUGUGAAGGUGUUGCAGUUUGAAAGGAAUCAAAAGUUGUGGUGAAAUGGAAAGAUGUUUGCAAACGGAAGAAGCUAGGAGGAUUGGGUAUUGUGCUGUUGAACAUAUGCUGGAGGUCACCUCCAUGCCAGGGCUGCUAAGCUCUCUAGAGCGAAUAAAGGGGUGAGGUCAACCGGGUAAAAAAGAAGGGAAAGAAGGGGGAAAAGAAAGAGGAUUGAAGUGGUCUGGGUUUUCAGAGUCCUGACCUGGAGGGACUAAUAUCUGGCUUGGUUUUUUAAGUGGGAGUUGUGUUCAAUGACACUUGAGCCCCAAGUUUAAAGUUCCAGCAAAUGUUAAAUGUCUUCUAUGGUUGAUCGCUCCAUGUGAAAUUCCAUGACCUGUCACCAACUUAAUUUGAACUAUAUCACCACCCAAAGGACAAAAAAAGGGGGUACCAUGUUUGUUACCUAACUUAGUGACUGUUGAUAUACAUUGUUGUGUGCCUUCCUAACAGAUCGAGCUUAUGGGAUAAAAGGUUGUACACAGUAUCAGAGUCAGGAGAUCAUGUGCUUGAUCCCUAGCAGUUAUGGGUGCCAGCUCUCUUAGUUGUUAAAGACAUUGGCCUGUUGCUGCUUUGGUUCUGGGAUCGAAACCUGCCUUCACCUUGUGCUACAUGUGCCUUCGCUGUCCCUCUCUAGUAGUGUGCCCUUUGUGCUCCCCUCUUUUGUCCAUGCUAUGGCGCUUGUAGUGUAGAUUAAUUUCUUUGGAUAAAAAAUAUAAAUUUUGAGGGCAGGAAGAUACAUAUUUGUGAUAUAGGCAUUUGUAGCUACUUUUACUGUUUUAGUAAAAUAAUUGUUGUUGCUGA
This is a long non-coding RNA of Macadamia integrifolia, 1165 nucleotides long. RefSeq lists it as uncharacterized. The transcript is spliced from 2 exons. NCBI's taxonomy places the organism in Eukaryota, Viridiplantae, Streptophyta, Magnoliopsida, Proteales, Proteaceae. The record is from RefSeq and is a predicted model, not a curated record.